Long non-coding RNA from Spinacia oleracea (spinach), 1147 nucleotides. RefSeq lists it as uncharacterized. Lineage: Eukaryota; Viridiplantae; Streptophyta; Magnoliopsida; Caryophyllales; Amaranthaceae. The record is from RefSeq and is a predicted model, not a curated record. The transcript is spliced from 9 exons.
AAAAUUGCGAGAAAACCCUAUCUUAGGAAAGCACCAAAAUUGAAGCCUCCCUUUCGGCCUUUCGGCCUUUCCCACUCACAUAAUCCCAUUGCUCCCACUCGCCACUCCCGUUGUUGAAGCUCCAGCACCUCGCCGCUCGCCGCUCGCUGCUAACUCUGAUUAAUAAGUUGACGAACGUCAAUUGCGGCUAACCCUAGAAAUUUCCAAUGAAUAAAAUUGAAUCUCAACCUUCGGAUAUUACGAGGGUGAAUUAAGUGUUAUCCAAGACUAGGAACAAAACAAAGCUAAAAACUCAAGUGCCCUAACCAGAAAAUCAAGUUAAUCAAUUCAGACCUUCAGAACUUGCAAGAUGUAAAUGGACGCAUUGACCUUUCUCUCCCAAACAUAUAAGUUGAUUCAGUCCAUUGUAUUUUGUGGAGAGGUUUAUCGCAUGAGGUUGCUUGGAGACUAUCAUCAUUCAACUCGCAUUGCUUUUGUGGAGUUUGUUAUGAUAUAAGGAAUUGGAUCCGCAAUAUUGAACAGCAUGCUUCAGACAAUGUGAACAAGAUUUUGGUCGGUAACAUGGCAAACAUGGAUGAGAGAAAAGGAGUGCCAAGACAAACUUGAAUGUGGAGGGGGUCUUCCUUUCAAUGGCAAGGGAUAUUAAACAGAGACUUGCAGAAUAUGACUCCAAGGCUAAGGUUCCUGGUGGGGGACUUAAGAUCAAUGCAACAGACUUAGGUGCCCCUGUCCCAGCUGCUACCAAGUCGUUUUGCUGUGGCUCUUAAGCUAAUUAGCGGAUUUUUGGUUGAGGAUUUUUGGGUGGAUGAUCCACAAAUUUGAGGCCGUAAGAUGGCACGAAAUGGAGGAAAAUAUGAGGCUUAUUUCUCGUUCUUCAAGAGCUGGUCUCCAGGUCCUUCAAGAACCAAAUUGAUUACACAAGAAGGAACGCCAAUAAUGGGGAUUCAAACUUUUUGGUGGUGGAUCUUAUAAACUAGCGCUACACGCAGCUACAUAAUUAGAAUUAUUUUUAAUUUCCUUCUGUUAUGUCUUUUUGAUUUUGUACAAAUAUUACUUCAUUUUGUAAAUUGUCAAUAGACGAUGUGACGAUAAUGUGUAUAUAUUUAUGGAUAUUUUUAAUAAAAAUGAAAUUUUAUCCUCCGUUGUA